This 714-nucleotide long non-coding RNA is filed under the name Chrysolophus pictus (golden pheasant). RNAcentral's name for it is "lncRNA (ENSCPIG00010004183.1)". The record is from RNAcentral. Lineage: Eukaryota; Metazoa; Chordata; Aves; Galliformes; Phasianidae.
GGUAAGGGAUCUCAUCAAGUGCUGCUACGAGGACCAUGUGCUCUCUGCCCCAUUGCCUCGAGUGCACGCACUGCAGGGUGAAGGCCUUUGGAAAGCUGGGGAUUCUCAUUGCACGUGGGCUCCAACCUAAAAGCUUUCCUGGUUUUGCACAGAUGCCGAACCCUUGCAGCUCCUGUUCUUGGCUGCAGGGUGAAGGCCUUUGGAAAGCUGGGAUUCUCAUUGCACGUGGGCUCCUACCUAAAAGCUUUCCUGGUUUCGCACAGAUGCUGAACCCUUGCAGCUCCUGUUCUUGCUCUGAAUUUUGGGCGCUGAGAACUCUGGAAAAGCCGAAUGCUAUAAAGGAAGAAAUGCUGUCAGAUAGCAGAGAGCUGGAGCUGGGGGAAUUUUCUGGAUCGGUUCGUGAAGCGAAAGGAUUCUUUCUCUUUAAAAAUAGAAUGACAAUAGCACCCCGGCCCAGUAAUGACUUCUCUGAAAGUUAAAACAACUCUGAGGCAGUUGCUCUGCUUCCACCGGGCUGCCAGCAUGGAAACGAGACCACUGCUUGCGGGAUGGGGGUAUGUGUUUAUUGCACUGCUGUCUGCACACAAAAACUGCUCUUUCUUGACUGGCUGCACCGUUAGCGAUACGCCGCUGGUGCUGGCCAUGACUCUUUCAGUGCUGUGUAACCAUCAGUGAAGUAGGAGAAAAAAAAAAACCAACAACAACAAACCCGCU